This is a long non-coding RNA of Gasterosteus aculeatus aculeatus (three-spined stickleback), 497 nucleotides long. Lineage: Eukaryota; Metazoa; Chordata; Actinopteri; Perciformes; Gasterosteidae. The record is from Ensembl.
GCGGGCUAAGUGUGGGCUAGGGUUAGCGGGGGCUAAGUGUGGGCUAGGGUUAGCGGGGGCUAAGUGGGGGCUAGGGUUAGCGGGGGCUAAGUGUGGGCUAGGGUUAGCGGGGGCUAAGUGUGGGCUAGGGUUAGCGGGGGCUAAGUGUGGGCUAGGGUUAGCGGGGGCUAAGUGUGGGCUAGGGUUAGCGGGGGCUAAGUGUGGGCUAGGGUUAGCGGGGGCUAAGUGUGGGCUAGGGUUAGCGGGGGCUAAGUGUGGGCUAGGGUUAGCGGGGGCUAAGUUGUGGGUAGGGUUAGCGGGGGCUAAGUGUGGGCUAGGGUUAGCGGGGGCUAAGUGUGGGCUAGGGUUAGCGGGGGCUAAGUGUGGGCUAGGGUUAGCGGGGGCUAAGGGUGGGCUAGGGUUAGGGGGGCUAAGUGGGCUAGGGUUAGCGGGGGCUAAGGGUGGGCUAGGGUUAGCGGGGGCUAAGUGGGGCUAGGGUUAGCGGGGGCUAAGUGGGG